RNAcentral lists this ribosomal RNA (439 nucleotides) under uncultured bacterium. RNAcentral's name for it is "partial 16S ribosomal RNA". It matches the Rfam family "Bacterial small subunit ribosomal RNA", at positions 339 to 795 of the family's 1533-position model. The record is from RNAcentral.
CUACGGGCUGCAGCAGUGGGGAAUAUUGCACAAUGGGGGAAACCCUGAUGCAGCAACGCCGCGUGGAGGAUGACGCAUUUCGGUGUGUAAACUCCUUUUAUAUAGGAAGAUAAUGACGGUACUAUAUGAAUAAGCACCGGCUAACUCCGUGCCAGCAGCCGCGGUAAUACGGAGGGUGCAAGCGUUACUCGGAAUCACUGGGCGUAAAGCGCGCGCAGGCGGCCCCUUAAGUUGGAUGUGAAAGCCUACGGCUUAACCGUAGAACUGCAUCCAAAACUGAGGGGCUAGAGUCUGGGAGGGGAAGAUGGAAUUAGUUGUGUAGGGGUAAAAUCCGUAGAGAUAACUAGGAAUACCAAAAGCGAAGGCGAUCUUCUGGAACAGUACUGACGCUGAGGCGCGAAAGCGUGGGGAGCAAACAGGAUUAGAUACCCUCGUAGUC